UCAAUAAGCGGAGGAAAAGAAACCAACAGGGAUUGCCCCAGUAACGGCGAGUGAAGCGGCAACAGCUCAAAUUUGAAAUCGGCCCCCCGGUCGAGUUGUAAUUUGCAGAGGAUGCUUCUGGGCAGCGGCCGGUCUAAGUUCCUUGGAACAGGACGUCAUAGAGGGUGAGAAUCCCGUAUGCGACCGGCGCGCACCCUCCACGUAGCUCCUUCGACGAGUCGAGUUGUUUGGGAAUGCAGCUCUAAAUGGGAGGUAAAUUUCUUCUAAAGCUAAAUACCGGCCAGAGACCGAUAGCGCACAAGUAGAGUGAUCGAAAGAUGAAAAGCACUUUGGAAAGAGAGUUAAAAAGCACGUGAAAUUGUUGAAAGGGAAGCGCUUGCCACCAGACUUGACGGCGGGGUUCCGCCGGUCUUCUGACCGGUCCACUCCCCGCCGGCAGGCCAACAUCGUCUGGGGCCGCCGGACAAGACGUCGGGAAUGUAGCUCCUCGGAGUGUUAUAGCCCGGCGUGAUGCGGCGCGCCCCGGGCGAGGUCCGCGCUCCGGCAAGGAUGUUGGCGUAAUGGUGGUCAGCGGCCCGUCUUGAAACACGGACCAAGGAGUCUAACAUCUAUGCGAGUGUUCGGGUGUCAAACCCCUACGCGGAAUGAAAGUGAACGGAGGUGGGAGCUUCGGCGCACCAUCGACCGAUCCUGAUGUCCUCGGAUGGAUUUGAGUAAAGAGCAUAGCUGUUGGGACCCGAAAGAUGGUGAACUAUGCCUGAAUAGGGUGAAGCCAGAGGAAACUCUGGUGGAGGCUCGCAGCGGUUCUGACGUGCAAAUCGAUCGUCAAAUUUGGGUAUAGGGGCGAAAGACUAAUCGA
Molecule: ribosomal RNA, 859 nt
Filed under: fungal sp. RS3.1
Lineage: Eukaryota; Fungi
Description: eukaryotic LSU rRNA
Rfam family: Eukaryotic large subunit ribosomal RNA
Source: RNAcentral